This is a non-coding RNA of Pelobates cultripes (western spadefoot toad), 527 nucleotides long. The record is from the annotation of a GenBank genome assembly. Lineage: Eukaryota; Metazoa; Chordata; Amphibia; Anura; Pelobatidae.
CCUGAGCCUCACUGGGAUCUUUAGUGGAGUUAACCUGUGAAAUACCAGCUCUCCGCUACAAACAAGUUUCACAUAAAGAAGGUAGAGGACUAGUGCAAAAAUAAAUAUUGCAUUCUGUUGGGCAGUGCUCGAUUCAUGCUGGGAAGGAUCUCACUGCCAUGAGAGUGAGUGCAGUUUACGGCAGUGAGUGCAGAGGACAUCCACUCUGUUCAGAUAAAUGUAGUUUUUAUGGAGGGUGACCAUUGCAAUUAGUGUUAGUGCGGUCUAUACGGAGGGCAGGCAGUGAGGUAAGGGUUAGUGCGGUCUAUACGGAGGGCGGGCAGUGAGGGUUAGUGCGGUCUAUACGGAGGGCGGGCAGUGAGGGUUAGUGCGGUCUAUACGGAGGGCGGGCGGUGAGGGUUAGUGCGGUCUAUACAGAGGGCGGGCGGUAAGGGUUAGUGCGGUCUAUACGGAGGGCGGGCGGUGAGGGUUAGUGCGGUCUAUACAGAGGGCGGGCGGUGAGGGUUAGUGCGGUCUAUACGGAGGGC